This 253-nucleotide ribosomal RNA is filed under the name uncultured bacterium. RNAcentral's name for it is "partial 16S ribosomal RNA". It matches the Rfam family "Bacterial small subunit ribosomal RNA", at positions 524 to 776 of the family's 1533-position model. The record is from RNAcentral.
UACGUAGGGUGCAAGCGUUAAUCGGAAUUACUGGGCGUAAAGCGUGCGCAGGCGGUUAUGCAAGACAGAGGUGAAAUCCCCGGGUUCAACCUGGGAACUGCCUUUGUGACUGCAUAGCUAGAGUACGGUAGAGGGGGAUGGAAUUCCGCGUGUAGCAGUGAAAUGCGUAGAUAUGCGGAGGAACACCGAUGGCGAAGGCAAUCCCCUGGACCUGUACUGACGCUCAUGCACGAAAGCGUGGGGAGCAAACAGG